This is a non-coding RNA of Lentisphaerae bacterium GWF2_49_21, 50 nucleotides long. Lineage: Bacteria; Pseudomonadati; Lentisphaerota. The record is from Rfam.
GGGUGUGUCGGUGUGCCGAUACAGGCUUUUGGAUGGUCGGGCCGCCAUCC